AGUGGCGGACGGGUGAGUAACACGUAAGAAUUUGCCUUUAGGAGGGGGACAACAACUAGAAAUGGUUGCUAAUACCCCAUAUGCUUUCGAGUGAAAUGGAUUUUUCCGCCUAGAGAGAAGCUUGCGGCUGAUUAGCUUGUUGGUGAGGUAAUGGCUCACCAAGGCGACGAUCAGUAUCUGGUUUGAGAGGACGAUCAGACACACUGGAACUGAGACACGGUCCAGACUCCUACGGGAGGCAGCAGUGGGGAAUUUUCCGCAAUGGGCGAAAGCCUGACGGAGCAAUACCGCGUGAGGGAUGACGGCCUAUGGGUUGUAAACCUCUUUUUUCAGGGAGGAAUCAAUGACGUGUACCUGAAGAAUAAGCAUCGGCUAACUCCGUGCCAGCAGCCGCGGUAAGACGGGGGAUGCAAGUGUUAUCCGGAAUCACUGGGCGUAAAGCGUCUGUAGGUGGUCCAAUAAGUCAACUGUUAAAUCUUGAGGCUCAACCUCAAAAUCGCAGUCGAAACUAUUAGACUAGAGUAUAGUAGGGGUAAAGGGAAUUUCCAGUGGAGCGGUGAAAUGCGUAGAGAUUGGAAAGAACACCGAUGGCCAAGGCACUUUACUGGCUAUUACUAACACUCAGAGACGAAAGCUAGGGUAGCAAAUGGGAUUAGAUACCCCAGUAGUCCUAGCCGUAAACAAUGGAUACUAGAUGUUG
Molecule: ribosomal RNA, 700 nt
Filed under: uncultured bacterium
Lineage: Bacteria
Description: bacterial SSU rRNA
Rfam family: Bacterial small subunit ribosomal RNA
Source: RNAcentral